RNAcentral lists this ribosomal RNA (465 nucleotides) under Vreelandella stevensii. RNAcentral's name for it is "partial 16S ribosomal RNA". It matches the Rfam family "Bacterial small subunit ribosomal RNA", at positions 338 to 795 of the family's 1533-position model. Lineage: Bacteria; Pseudomonadati; Pseudomonadota; Gammaproteobacteria; Oceanospirillales; Halomonadaceae. The record is from RNAcentral.
CCUACGGGUGGCAGCAGUGGGGAAUAUUGGACAAUGGGCGAAAGCCUGAUCCAGCCAUGCCGCGUGUGUGAAGAAGGCCUUCGGGUUGUAAAGCACUUUCAGUGGGGAAGAAAGCCUUGGGGCUAAUACCCUCGAGGAAGGACAUCACCCACAGAAGAAGCACCGGCUAACUCCGUGCCAGCAGCCGCGGUAAUACGGAGGGUGCGAGCGUUAAUCGGAAUUACUGGGCGUAAAGCGCGCGUAGGCGGUCUGAUAAGCCGGUUGUGAAAGCCCCGGGCUCAACCUGGGAACGGCAUCCGGAACUGUCAGGCUAGAGUGCAGGAGAGGAAGGUAGAAUUCCCGGUGUAGCGUUGAAAUGCGUAGAGAUCGGGAGGAAUACCAGUGGCGAAGGCGGCCUUCUGGACUGACACUGACGCUGAGGUGCGAAAGCGUGGGUAGCAAACAGGAUUAGAUACCCGGGUAGUC